RNAcentral lists this ribosomal RNA (253 nucleotides) under uncultured bacterium. Its description in RNAcentral is "partial 16S ribosomal RNA". It matches the Rfam family "Bacterial small subunit ribosomal RNA", at positions 524 to 776 of the family's 1533-position model. The record is from RNAcentral.
UACGUAGGGUGCGAGCGUUAAUCGGAAUUACUGGGCGUAAGGCGUGCGCAGGCGGUUUUGUAAGCCAGAUGUGAAAGCCCCGGGCUCAACCUGGGAAUGGCAUUUGGGACUGCAAGGCUUGAGUGCGGCAGAGGAGACUGGAAUUCCUGGUGUAGCAGUGAAAUGCGUAGAUAUCAGGAGGAAUACCGAUGGCGAAGGCAGGUCUCUGGGCUGACACUGACGCUCAUGCACGAAAGCGUGGGGAGCAAACAGG